RNAcentral lists this ribosomal RNA (396 nucleotides) under uncultured bacterium. Its description in RNAcentral is "partial 16S ribosomal RNA". It matches the Rfam family "Bacterial small subunit ribosomal RNA", at positions 523 to 918 of the family's 1533-position model. The record is from RNAcentral.
CUACGUAGGUGGCAAGCGUUGUCCGGAAUUACUGGGUGUAAAGGGAGCGCAGGCGGGAGAGCAAGUCAGUGGUGAAAUGCAUGGGCUUAACCCAUGAACUGCCAUUGAAACUGUUUUUCUUGAGUGGAUCAGAGGCAAGCGGAAUUCCGAGUGUAGCGGUGAAAUGCGUAGAUAUUCGGAGGAACACCAGUGGCGAAGGCGGCUUGCUGGGGUCUAACUGACGCUGAGGCUCGAAAGUGUGGGGAGCAAACAGGAUUAGAUACCCUGGUAGUCCACACCGUAAACGAUGAUUACUAGGUGUGUGGGGUCUGACCCCCUACGUGCCGGAGUUAACGCAAUAAGUAAUCCACCUGGGGAGUACGGCCGCAAGGUUGAAACUCAAAUGAAUUGACGGGG